AACGAACGCUGGCGGCGUGGCUAAGACAUGCAAGUCAAACGGACUAUACAAUUGAGUAAUCGAUCGUAUAGUUAGUGGCGAAAGGGUUAGUAAUGGAUAGGUAACGUACCCUGUGCUUCGGAAUAGCGUCUCCCGACUUGUCGGGAUACCGAAAGGGUCGGUAAUACCGAAUAAUAUCAGUUGUCGAUGGGCAACUGGUCAAAGAUUUAUCGGCAUUGGAGCGGCCUAUCUCCUAUCAGCUUGUUGGUGAGGUGACGGCUCACCAAGGCAGCGACGGGUAGCGGGACUGAGAGGUUGGCCCGCAACAUCGGGACUGAGACACUGCCCGGACCUCCACGGAGGGCUGCAGUAACGAAUAUUGCGCAAUGGGCGAAAGCCUGACGCAGCGACGCCGCGUGCGGGAGGAAGUCCUUCGGGAUGUAAACCGCUGUCAGGGGUAAGAAAGUUCGCUUCGGCGGAUUGAUCUAACCCAAAGGAAGUCACGGCUAACUUCGUGCCAGCAGCCGCGGUAAGACGAAGGUGGCAAGCGUUGUUCGGUGUUACUGGGCUUAAAGGGUGUGUAGGCGGAAAGGUAAGCGUCUUGUGAAAGCCCCCGGCUUAACCGGGGAAUUGCUUGGCGAACUGCCUUUCUUGAGGCAGGCAGGGGCGCAUGGAACUCUUGGUGGAGCGGUGGAAUGCGUAGAUAUCAAGAGGAACGCCGAUGGAGAAAUCAGUGCGCUGGGCCUGUCNUGACGCUGAUACACGAAAGCGUNGGGAGCGAACGGGAUUAGAUACCCCGGUAGUCCACGCCGUAAACGAUGUCUACUAGGUCGUGGAGGUUCUGACACCUGCACAGCCGAAGCAAAAGUGUUAAGUAGACCGCCUGGGGAGUACGGUCGCAAGGCUAAAACUCAAAGGAAUUGACGGGGGCUCACACAAGCGGUGGAGCAUGUGGUUCAAUUCGACGCAACGCGAAGAACCUUACCUGGGUUUGAACUGUUGGUGGUAAAACCUCGAAAGGGGAAUGAUCCUGGCUUGCCAGGAAGCCAGCAGAGGUGCUGCAUGGCUGUCGUCAGCUCGU
This 1060-nucleotide ribosomal RNA is filed under the name uncultured bacterium. RNAcentral's name for it is "bacterial SSU rRNA". It matches the Rfam family "Bacterial small subunit ribosomal RNA", at positions 28 to 1063 of the family's 1533-position model. The record is from RNAcentral.